Molecule: unclassified non-coding RNA, 697 nt
Filed under: Hevea brasiliensis (rubber tree)
Lineage: Eukaryota; Viridiplantae; Streptophyta; Magnoliopsida; Malpighiales; Euphorbiaceae
Source: RNAcentral
AAAAAUUUUCAUAGGUAAAUUGUUUAAGCUUUUAAAUUUUUUUUUCUUCUUAUUAUUAUCGACUAAAUACAAGUUCGUAGGUAAUUACCAAUGAAAAUUUGUGCAAUUAAAAUUUUUUAAGCUUUUGAAAUUUUUCCUUUUUAUUUCCUUUUUAAUAUUAUCAGCCAAAUAUGAGUUCGUUGAUACUUACUGACGAUAGAUUUUCGUAGGUAAUUUAUUUUAAAAUUUUAUUUUUUAUAUUUUUCUUAAUACUACUGAUCAAAUGCAAGGUCGUUAGUAUUUGCUAAUAAAACAUGUUCGUGGGUAAUUUAUUUAUCUUUUUAUAUUUUUUCUUCUUUUUAAUAUUACAGAUGAAACUAUAAGUUUAUUGAUAAUUACCGGAAAAAAAAAUUUAUAGACAAAAUUUUCUGAAUUUUUUAAUUUUCUUUUUGAUAUUAGUGACAAAAAAAGAGUUGGUUAGUAAUUACAUCGAAUUUGUUCAUCACUAUGUUUUUUAUUUAAUCGCAAAUUUUGCCGCAACUAUUUGGUGCCAUCUUUACCUAUGAAAUUCUGUCGUCAAUAAAGGUUUUGUGGCUAAUUGAUCGGUAAUUUUGUCAGUAUAAAUUGAUUUACAUUUUAAUUCUCCUGACUCUCCUUUUUUGUCAGUAAAUUACCAGUAAAAUUAUGUGGUCGGUAAGUUUCAUAUAUAUAUAUAUAU